AGCUAAAGAUUAGGUAGAUGGCAAACUUAAAAAAAGAAACCAAAAAUUGGUGGAUGAGUUAAAUUAAACGAAACCCAAUGUAUCUUUUUUUUUUCUCAUAAGUUAAACCAAGAAAUUCAUAAUGUAAAACCAGGAUUAGAUACCCUGCUAUUAUUGAAUGUCGUUUAAAUCUACUUGGGAAUUACGAGCUUUUUGAGCUUAAAACCUAAAGAGUUUGGCGGUUCCAUUUUGGACCAGGGGAGCAUGGCCUGUAAGCGAUAAUCCACGAAAUUUUCACCUUUCUUAAUUAGUUUAUAUACCCCCGUUUAUGUUAGCAUUUUGAAAUUUUAAAAGUUAGCAAAAGUUUAAUUACUUAAAAAUCAGGUCGAGGUGUAGCCAAUAGGAAGGGAUGAGCUGUGCUACUUUACUAGGAGAAGUAAAUGGAAACAACCUAUUUAACAAAGUUGCUGAAAAAGUACUUGGUAGUAAAAAAAAUUUAAAAAAUUUUUUUAAAUAAUUCAAACGGAGCGUACAAAUCGCCCGUCAAUCCUUCCAUUGAGGAAGGAUAA
Molecule: ribosomal RNA, 548 nt
Filed under: Electra pilosa
Lineage: Eukaryota; Metazoa; Bryozoa; Gymnolaemata; Cheilostomatida; Electridae
Description: partial 12S ribosomal RNA
Source: RNAcentral